Long non-coding RNA from Rattus norvegicus (Norway rat), 445 nucleotides. RefSeq lists it as uncharacterized. The record is from RefSeq and is a predicted model, not a curated record. Lineage: Eukaryota; Metazoa; Chordata; Mammalia; Rodentia; Muridae.
UUUGCCUCCUCCUAUGAUAUGGCCUGAGUUCUGGCAGUUCUAGAACCUUCUGAAGCACAGGCAUAGAAGGUAGAAUGCUUACAUUGGACACCUCACUCCAUCAGUGCUACCAACGAGCGGGGCCACUUGCUCCUCCCCACUGCCCCUCUCCCACCAUGGCUGUUGGACUCAAAGCCACGUGCUCAGGUGAGGGAACUAAGAAGAAAGGGAAGUUGAGUCACUUGCUGGAGACUAAAAGCUCCAACCAGGAAGAGAAAAACAGCUGACUUCAACCCAACUUGUCCUCGAGAGGCUCACCUUGAGUGCAGCUCACUGCUCUUGCCUGUCGUUGUAAGGAAGAUGCAACCUGGGGUACUUUCAAUUCAGAAGACUUGGAGCUAAGAGAACUCAAAGUCUGGAAUAUCUCUCUCUGCUGGGGUGACUUGAAUAAACUGGCAAAUCAAAA